This 253-nucleotide ribosomal RNA is filed under the name uncultured bacterium. RNAcentral describes it as "partial 16S ribosomal RNA". It matches the Rfam family "Bacterial small subunit ribosomal RNA", at positions 524 to 776 of the family's 1533-position model. The record is from RNAcentral.
UACAGAGGUCUCGAGCGUUGUUCGGAUUCAUUGGGCGUAAAGGGUGCGUAGGCGGCGUGGUAAGUCUGGUGUGAAAUCCUGGAGCUUAACUCCAGAAAUGCACUGGAUACUGCCAUGCUAGAGGACUGGAGAGGAGAUUGGAAUUCACGGUGUAGCAGUGAAAUGCGUAGAUAUCGUGAGGAAGACCAGUGGCGAAAGCGAAUCUCUGGACAGUUCCUGACGCUGAUGCACGAAGGCUAGGGGAGCAAACGGG